UCAAGAUAGUAAGGGCGCAUGGUGGAUGCCUUGGCACCAAGAGUCGAUGAAGGGCGUGAACGGCUGCGAUAAGCCACGGUUAGGCGCUGAAUAGCCUUUGACCCGUGGAUCUCCGAAUGGGGAAACCCAACGCUGGUAAUGCGGCGUUAUCCCCGGCUGAACACAUAGGCCGGGAGAAGACAAGCGGGGGAAGUGAAACAUCUCAGUACCCCGAGGAAAGAAAAUCAAAAGAGACUCCCUGAGUAGUGGCGAGCGAAAAGGGAUCAGCCCAAACCUGGCAGAUGUAAGCGGACACGCGUUGUCUGUCAGGGGUUGUAGGGCGCUUGUUCCGAGCCGUGUCCGGUUCGGCAGGAGUUACAAAACCAUGUGGUAGUCGAAGCGCGUGGAACCGCGCACCAUAGAGGGCAAACGUCCCGUAGACGAAACUGCAUGGUCUCCUGUCAGGCGUUCCUGAGUAAGUCCGCACCCGUGAAACGCGGACUGAACCUGGGGGGACCACCCUCCAAGGCUAAGUACUCCUUGGUGACCGAUAGCGGACUAGUACCGUGAGGGAAAGGUGAAAAGUACCCCGGAAGGGGAGUGAAAUAGUACCUGAAACCGCGUGCCUACAAGCGGUGGGAGCAGGCUUUGUCCUGUGACCGCGUGCUUUUUGCAUAACGAGCCGGCGAGUUACUCGUCUGCGGCAAGGUUAAGCGAUGAGCGGAGCCGUAGCGAAAGCGAGUCCUAAUAGGGCGACAUAGUCGUAGGCGGUAUACCCGAAACUGAGCGAGCUACCCAUGGGCAGGCUGAAGCGGGGGUAAGACCUCGUGGAGGGCCGAACCGACCUAGGUUGAAAACUGGGCGGAUGACCUGUGGGUCGGAGUGAAAGGCUAAUCAAGCUCAGUGAUAUCUGGUUCUCUCCGAAAUAUAUUUAGGUAUAGCCUCGGAUAAAUUCCGUGGCGGCCGUAGAGCACUGUUUGGACUAGGGGCCCUACCAGGUUACCGACUUCAGGCAAACUCCGAAGACCAAUUACGUUUACUCCGGGAGUCAGUUGCUGGGGGAUAAACUUCAGCGUCGAAAGGGAAACAGCCCAGACCGCCAGCUAAGGUCCCUAAGUACUAGCUAAGUGGGAAACGAUGUUCGAGUGCAUAGACAACCAGGAGGUUGGCUUAGAGGCAGCCAUCCUUGAAAGAGUGCGUAACAGCUCACUGGUCAAGUGUUCGAGCGCGGACAAUGUAACGGGGCUCAAGCUAGUCACCGAAGCUGCGGGUGCGUGAGACCUUCGGGUCGAUCGCGCGGUAGGAGAGCGUUCCCAUGCCAGUAAAGCGGCGGCGUAAGCCAGCCGUGGAGGCAUGGGAAGUGAGAAUGCCGGCAUGAGUAACGAAAGAGGGGUGAGAAUCCCCUCCACCGAUUGCCCAAGGAUUCCUGAGUAAAGUUCGUCUGCUCAGGGUUAGUCGGGACCUAAGGCGAGGCCGAAAGGCGUAGUCGAUGGCCAACAGGUUGAUAUUCCUGUACCACGUCGCUUCCGUUUGACCGAUGGGGGGACGAGGAAGGCUAGGGAAACCCAGGCGAUGGUAGUCCUGGGGUAAGCAUGUAGGGGUGGCCCUUGUCAAAUGCGGGGCCGCAUAACCUGAGGUGCGAUGCCAGCUGGCGUUUAGCCGGCGAGUUCCUGACGCCAUACCUCCAAGAAAAUCCUCUAGGGAGGAAGCGCGUGCCCGUACCAAAACCGACACAGGUGGGCAAGUAGAGAAUACUAAGGUGAUCGAGAUAACCCUCGUUAAGGAACUCGGCAAAAUCGCCCCGUAACUUCGGGAUAAGGGGCGCCCCAGUAGGGUGAAGCUCUUCGCGAGUGGAGCCCGAGGGGGCCGCAGUGAAUUGGCUGAAGCGACUGUUUACCAAAAACACAGGUCUCUGCUAAGUCGAAAGACGACGUAUAGGGGCUGACGCCUGCCCGGUGCCGGAAGGUUACGUGGAGUUGUUAGGACUUCGGUUCGAAGCAGCGAAGCUAAGCCCCGGUAAACGGCGGCCGUAACUAUCAGUUGACCGAGGUAGUUGUAAAACUCGGCUAUAUGCUGGAACAUCCGAGUAUCCCGCACUACGAGUACCGUCCCAAGUGGGCGAUACCGUGAAAAUGUGCCGGGUGCGGACAAUCAGCAGGAAAGGCCGUGCAUAGAGGCCAUAGAGGUCUCGCUCGGUAGUUUCUUGUCUGGGUUCGCGCUGGGUGAGGGAAGCUUCAUGUUGGUCUGUCGCAAGCGCGGCAGCUCGGCACGACGCUUCCGGAUCUCGGCAGCCUUCAACGUCUCGCAGCAGGAUCGCGUUCCCCUGGAACUCUUUCGAGAGACCCUUCGGUGUGGGAGCCUGCGACGGGCGGGAAACGGCGGUUGGUAUUGGGAGGUCAACAGACUUUCCGAUCUGACUGACCGGAUCGUGCCGUUCUUGGAUCGGUUUCCGAUCGUGGGACUGAAGGCAGAGGACUACCGGUUGUGGAGGGGCGCAGUUUCGGCUCCUUGCGUCCGGCGGUCUGAGCGACCGAGAUUACGUCAAGGUUCUUGCUCUCCGGAAACGGAUGAACCGAGGCGGGAAGAGAAGCCACCGAAUGGACGGAAUCCUCAGAGACUAUACGCCGAGCCCACUGAUCUAGAGCGAUUGUGGGAUGAGAUAGUCCGCUCUCAUGGGCGACCAUGAGAGUCCGUCAGAAAUGAGCGGACCGCCCAGGCGAGGUGCCUGGGUAGUAACAGUCAGGAACGGUCCUAAGGUAGCGAAAUUCCUUGUCGGGUAAGUUCCGACCUGCACGAAUGGCGUAACGACUUCAGCGCUGUCUCAACGAGGGGCUCGGUGAAAUUGCAGUCUCGGUGAAGAUGCCGAGUACCCGCGGCUAGACGGAAAGACCCCGUGAACCUUUACUACAACCUGG
Molecule: ribosomal RNA, 2894 nt
Filed under: soil metagenome
Description: bacterial LSU rRNA
Rfam family: Bacterial large subunit ribosomal RNA
Source: RNAcentral